AGAGUUUGAUCCUGGCUCAGGAUGAACGCUAGCGGGAGGCCUAACACAUGCAAGUCGAACGGGAUUGAGAGCUUGCUCUCAUGAGAGUGGCGCACGGGUGAGUAACGCGUAUGCAACCUACCUAUAACUGAGGGAUAGCCCAUAGAAAUGUGGAUUAAUACCUCAUAGUUCUAUUAAGCCGCAUGGUUUGAUAGAUAAAACUCCGGUGGUUAUAGAUGGGCAUGCGUGACAUUAGCUAGUUGGUAAGGUAACGGCUUACCAAGGCUACGAUGUCUAGGGGUUCUGAGAGGAUGAUCCCCCACACUGGUACUGAGACACGGACCAGACUCCUACGGGAGGCAGCAGUGAGGAAUAUUGGUCAAUGGGCGCAAGCCUGAACCAGCCAUCCCGCGUGCAGGAUGACGGCCCUAUGGGUUGUAAACUGCUUUUAUACACCAAGAAAAAUCAGGACGUGUCCUGACUCGACGGUAGUGUAUGAAUAAGCAUCGGCUAACUCCGUGCCAGCAGCCGCGGUAAUACGGAGGAUGCAAGCGUUAUCCGGAUUCAUUGGGUUUAAAGGGUGCGUAGGCGGCUUUUUAAGUCAGUGGUGAAAUCUUGCCGCUUAACGGUAAAAUUGCCAUUGAUACUGAAAAGCUUGAGUACAGUUGAGGUAAGCGGAAUGUGUAGUGUAGCGGUGAAAUGCUUAGAUAUUACACAGAACACCGAUUGCGAAGGCAGCUUACUAAACUGUCACUGACGCUGAUGCACGAAAGCGUGGGGAGCGAACAGGAUUAGAUACCCUGGUAGUCCACGCCGUAAACGAUGCUCACUCGCUGUAUGCGAUACACAGUAUGCGGCCAAGCGAAAGCAUUAAGUGAGCCACCUGGGGAGUACGAUCGCAAGGUUGAAACUCAAAGGAAUUGACGGAA
Molecule: ribosomal RNA, 908 nt
Filed under: uncultured bacterium
Lineage: Bacteria
Description: bacterial SSU rRNA
Rfam family: Bacterial small subunit ribosomal RNA
Source: RNAcentral